Molecule: ribosomal RNA, 498 nt
Filed under: uncultured bacterium
Lineage: Bacteria
Description: partial 16S ribosomal RNA
Rfam family: Bacterial small subunit ribosomal RNA
Source: RNAcentral
GAUGAACGCUGGCGGCGUGCCUAACACAUGCAAGUCGAGCGGAGUCAGUAAGAGGAAGUUUUCGGAUGGAAUCUUAUUGAUUUAGCGGCGGACGGGUGAGUAACGCGUGAGCGACCAACCUUGCACAGGGGGAUAACGGACCGAAAGGUUCACUAAUACCGCAUGAGACCACGGUGUUGCAUGACACAGAGGUCAAAGGAGCAAUCCGGUGCAAGACGGGCUCGCGUCCGAUUAGGUAGUUGGAGGGGUAAUGGCCCACCAAGCCUAUGAUCGGUAGCCGACCUGGGAGGGUGAGCGGCCACAUUGGAACUGAGAGACGGUCCAAACUCCUACGGGAGGCAGCAGUGGGGAAUAUUGGGCAAUGGGGGAAACCCUGACCCAGCAACGCCGCGUGAAGGAAGAAGGUUUUCGGAUUGUAAACUUCUGUCCUUGGUGAAGAGAAGAAGACGGUAGCCAAGGAGGAAGCCCCGGCUAACUACGUGCCAGCCGCCGCAGUAA